Molecule: ribosomal RNA, 253 nt
Filed under: uncultured Parabacteroides sp.
Lineage: Bacteria; Pseudomonadati; Bacteroidota; Bacteroidia; Bacteroidales; Tannerellaceae
Description: partial 16S ribosomal RNA
Rfam family: Bacterial small subunit ribosomal RNA
Source: RNAcentral
UACGGAGGAUCCGAGCGUUAUCCGGAUUUAUUGGGUUUAAAGGGUGCGUAGGCGGCCUUUUAAGUCAGCGGUGAAAGUCUGUGGCUCAACCAUAGAAUUGCCGUUGAAACUGGGGGGCUUGAGUAUGUUUGAGGCAGGCGGAAUGCGUGGUGUAGCGGUGAAAUGCAUAGAUAUUACACAGAACACCGAUUGCGAAGGCAGCUUGCUAGGCCGGAUCUGACACUGAUGCACGAAAGCGUGGGGAUCGAACAGG